AGUUGAUCCUGGCUUAGGAUGAACGCUAGCUACAGGCUUAACACAUGCAAGUCGAGGGGCAGCAUUAUCGAAGCUUGCUUUGAUAGAUGGCGACCGGCGCACGGGUGAGUAACGCGUAUCCAACCUUCCCAUCACUCAGGGAUAGCCCGCCGAAAGGCGAAUUAAUACCUGAUGGUCUCCUUCGCGGACAUCUAACGAGGAGUAAAGAUUCAUUGGUGAUGGAUGGGGAUGCGUCUGAUUAGGUAGUAGGCGGGGUAACGGCCCACCUAGCCGACGAUCAGUAGGGGUUCUGAGAGGAAGGUCCCCCACAUUGGAACUGAGACACGGUCCAAACUCCUACGGGAGGCAGCAGUGAGGAAUAUUGGUCAAUGGACGGAAGUCUGAACCAGCCAAGUAGCGUGCAAGGAUGACGGCCCUAUGGGUUGUAAACUGCUUUUGUGCGGGAAUAAAGUAUGGGACGUGUCCCAUUUUGCAUGUACCGCACGAAUAAGGACCGGCUAAUUCCGUGCCAGCCGCAGC
This 519-nucleotide ribosomal RNA is filed under the name uncultured bacterium. Its description in RNAcentral is "bacterial SSU rRNA". It matches the Rfam family "Bacterial small subunit ribosomal RNA", at positions 10 to 518 of the family's 1533-position model. The record is from RNAcentral.